AUACAUUUUCGGUCUUUUUGUUAUGAUCAAGUGUAGUAUAUGUUCAUCCUAUUAGUUUAAUCGGUUUAAUAUAUGUGGCCUAAUGAGUCACACAAUAUUAAAUUACUUUUUUGAGGCGAAGUGACUUCCUUAAUAGCUUGCAAUUGGACUUCUCAAAUGUUACCUAUGUGUUGCACUAUUGCAUAGGCUAUAUGGAACCCAC
Molecule: small nuclear RNA, 202 nt
Organism: Medicago truncatula (barrel medic)
Lineage: Eukaryota; Viridiplantae; Streptophyta; Magnoliopsida; Fabales; Fabaceae
Rfam family: U2 spliceosomal RNA
About the family: U2 is a small nuclear RNA (snRNA) component of the spliceosome (involved in pre-mRNA splicing).
Source: Rfam